This 182-nucleotide ribosomal RNA is filed under the name uncultured bacterium. Its description in RNAcentral is "partial 16S ribosomal RNA". It matches the Rfam family "Bacterial small subunit ribosomal RNA", at positions 1319 to 1500 of the family's 1533-position model. The record is from RNAcentral.
CGUGAAGUUGGAAUUGCUAGUAAUCGCGGAUCAGCAUGCCGCGGUGAAUACGUUCCCGGGCCUUGUACACACCGCCCGUCACACCAUGGGAGCCGGUAAUACCCGAAGUCAGUAGCCUAACCGCAAGGAGGGCGCUGCCGAAGGUAGGAUUGGCGACUGGGGUGAAGUCGUAACAAGGUACC